CCUACGGGAGGCAGCAGUGGGGAAUAUUGGACAAUGGGGGGAACCCUGAUCCAGCGACGCCGCGUGAGUGAUGAAGUAUUUCGGUAUGGUAAGCUCUAUCAGCAGGGAAGAAAAUGACGGUACCUGACCAAGAAGCCCCGGUUAACUUCGAGCCAGCAGCCGCGGUACUACGGAGGGGGCAAGCGUAAUCCGGAUUUACUGGGUGUAAAGGGAGCGUAGACGGUGCAGCAAGUAUGAUGUGAAAGGUCGGGGCCCAACCCCGGGACUGCAUUGGAAACUGUUGAACUGGAGUACAGGAGAGGUAAGCGGAAUUCCUAGUGUAGCGGUGAAAUGCGUAGAUAUUAGGAGGAACACCAAUGGCGAAGGCGGCUUACUAGACUGUAACUGACGUUGAGGCUCGAAAGCGUGGGGAGCAAACAGGAUUAGAUACCCCUGUAGUC
RNAcentral lists this ribosomal RNA (440 nucleotides) under uncultured bacterium. Its description in RNAcentral is "partial 16S ribosomal RNA". It matches the Rfam family "Bacterial small subunit ribosomal RNA", at positions 338 to 795 of the family's 1533-position model. The record is from RNAcentral.